Molecule: transfer RNA, 73 nt
Filed under: Sphaerodactylus townsendi
Lineage: Eukaryota; Metazoa; Chordata; Lepidosauria; Squamata; Sphaerodactylidae
Description: tRNA-Ala
Rfam family: tRNA
About the family: Transfer RNA (tRNA) molecules are approximately 80 nucleotides in length. Their secondary structure includes four short double-helical elements and three loops (D, anti-codon, and T loops). Further hydrogen bonds mediate the characteristic L-shaped molecular structure. tRNAs have two regions of fundamental functional importance: the anti-codon, which is responsible for specific mRNA codon recognition, and the 3' end, to which the tRNAs corresponding amino acid is attached (by aminoacyl-tRNA synthetases). tRNAs cope with the degeneracy of the genetic code in two manners: having more than one tRNA (with a specific anti-codon) for a particular amino acid; and 'wobble' base-pairing, i.e. permitting non-standard base-pairing at the 3rd anti-codon position.
Source: RNAcentral
UGGGGCUGUGGUUCAGUAGCACAGCACCUGCUUUGCGAACAGAGGGUCCCAGGUUCAAUCCCUGGCAUCCCAG